RNAcentral lists this small RNA (76 nucleotides) under Xanthomonas fragariae. RNAcentral's name for it is "sX9 sRNA". It matches the Rfam family "Xanthomonas sRNA sX9". Lineage: Bacteria; Pseudomonadati; Pseudomonadota; Gammaproteobacteria; Lysobacterales; Lysobacteraceae. The record is from RNAcentral.
AUGUAUCCUUAGUACACUGCAACUUGUCCCUACCGUCCGCACCUACCUGGCGACUGCUCGCUACUUUUUGUUAGCC